RNAcentral lists this ribosomal RNA (387 nucleotides) under Epomops franqueti (Franquet's epauletted bat). Its description in RNAcentral is "partial 12S ribosomal RNA". It matches the Rfam family "Bacterial small subunit ribosomal RNA", at positions 794 to 1382 of the family's 1533-position model. Lineage: Eukaryota; Metazoa; Chordata; Mammalia; Chiroptera; Pteropodidae. The record is from RNAcentral.
GCUCAGCCCUAAACCUUAGUAGUUUUAACAACAAUACUACUCGCCAGAGUACUACUAGCAACAGCCUAAAACUCAAAGGACUUGGCGGUGCUUUAUAUCCCUCUAGAGGAGCCUGUUCUGUAAUCGAUAAACCCCGAUAAACCUCACCAGUCCUUGCUAAUACAGCCUAUAUACCGCCAUCUUCAGCAAACCCUAAAAAGGAGCCACAGUAAGCCAAACUAUAUAACAUAAAAACGUUAGGUCAAGGUGUAGCCAAUGGGCCGGGAAGAAAUGGGCUACAUUUUCUAAUAUAGAACAUAACGAAACUUUUCGUGAAACCGAAAACGGAAGGAGGAUUUAGUAGUAAAUUAAGAAUAGAGAGCUUAAUUGAAUAAGGCCAUGAAGCAC